Molecule: ribosomal RNA, 466 nt
Filed under: uncultured bacterium
Lineage: Bacteria
Description: partial 16S ribosomal RNA
Rfam family: Bacterial small subunit ribosomal RNA
Source: RNAcentral
GACGAACGCUGGCGGCGCGCCUAACACAUGCCAGUCGAACGAGCGAGAGAGAGCUUGCUUUCUCAAGCGAGUGGCGAACGGGUGAGUAACGCGUGAGGAACCUGCCUCAAAGAGGGGGACAACAGUUGGAAACGACUGCUAAUACCGCAUAAGCCCACGACCCGGCAUCGGGUAGAGGGAAAAGGAGCAAUCCGCUUUGAGAUGGCCUCGCGUCCGAUUAGCUAGUUGGUGAGGUAACGGCCCACCAAGGCGACGAUCGGUAGCCGGACUGAGAGGUUGAACGGCCACAUUGGGACUGAGACACGGCCCAGACUCCUACGGGAGGCAGCAGUGGGGAAUAUUGCACAAUGGGGGAAACCCUGAUGCAGCGACGCCGCGUGGAGGAAGCAGGUCUUCGGAUUGUAAACUCCUGUUGUUGAGGAAGAUAAUGACGGUACUCAACAAGGAAGUGACGGCUAACUACGUG